UGACGCCCAUAUCAUGUUGAAACACUAUUUCCCGUACUAUCACAGAAGUUAAGCAACAUUGACCGUGGUCAGUACCAAAAUGGGUGAUCGCCUCGGAAUAUCUCUUGCUGUAAG
This is a non-coding RNA of Acanthosepion pharaonis, 114 nucleotides long. The record is from the annotation of a GenBank genome assembly. Lineage: Eukaryota; Metazoa; Mollusca; Cephalopoda; Sepiida; Sepiidae.